UACAAUCUUAUGUUGCAGUUGGU
Molecule: non-coding RNA, 23 nt
Filed under: Arabidopsis thaliana (thale cress)
Lineage: Eukaryota; Viridiplantae; Streptophyta; Magnoliopsida; Brassicales; Brassicaceae
Source: RNAcentral